This 664-nucleotide ribosomal RNA is filed under the name uncultured cyanobacterium. Its description in RNAcentral is "bacterial SSU rRNA". It matches the Rfam family "Bacterial small subunit ribosomal RNA", at positions 99 to 795 of the family's 1533-position model. The record is from RNAcentral. Lineage: Bacteria; Bacillati; Cyanobacteriota.
CGGACGGGUAAGUAACACGUAAGGAUUUGCCUUUAGGUGGGGGACAACAACUGGAAACGGUUGCUAAUACCCCAUAUGCUUUCGAGUGAAAUAGAUUUCCGGCUAAAGAGAAGCUUGCGGUUGAUUAGCUUGUUGGUAGGGUAAUGGCCUACCAAGGCGACGAUCAGUAUCUGGUUUGAGAGGACGAUCAGACACACUGGAACUGAGACACGGUCCAGACUCCUACGGGAGGAAGCAGUAGGGAAAUUUCCGCAAUGGGCGAAACCCUGACGGAGCAAUACCGCGUGAGGGAUGACUGCCUAUGGGUUGUAAACCUCUUUUUUCAGGGAGGAAUAAAUGACGUGUACCUGAAGAAUAAGCAUCGGCUAACUCCGUGCCUGCAGCCGCGGUGAGACGGAGGAUUCAAGUGUUAUCCGGAAUCACUGGGCGUAAAGCGUCUGUAGGUGGCUCGACAAGUCAACUGUUAAAUCUUGAAGCUCAACUUCGAAAUCGCAGUCGAAACUAUCGAACUAGAGUAUAGUAGAGGUAAAGGGAAUUUCCAGUGGUGCGGUGAAAUGCGUAGAGACUGGGAAGAACACCGAUGGCGAAGGCACUUUACUGGGCUAUUACUGACACUCAGAGACGAAAGCUAGGGUAGCAAAUGGGAUUAGAUACCCCAGUAGUC